This is an RNA transcript of Setaria italica (foxtail millet), 3133 nucleotides long. It is a transcript of the gene named phosphatidylinositol 4-phosphate 5-kinase 2, with no coding region annotated. The record is from RefSeq and is a predicted model, not a curated record. NCBI's taxonomy places the organism in Eukaryota, Viridiplantae, Streptophyta, Magnoliopsida, Poales, Poaceae. The transcript is spliced from 9 exons.
UCUGCUCCAGUGUGCUCGUCGACUCCUCGUCCUCGCCGUCGCCGGCCUGAGCCUGACAUCGCGUCGCGUGCCAAAGCCGACGCGCGCAAAAGCAACGAAAGCGAAAGCAAAGCGGCCACCACCUCACCCCGUCUCCUCUCCUCCCUCCACCCGUCACGCCGAAGCUCCGAGCGCGAGCGGCCAUUCCAUUCCUCUCGGCUCUCGCACCGUCCCGUCGCAUCCCCUCCCCCUCUCCUAAAAAUGAGAAACCUAGUACUACCAUAGAAGUCAAGUCACUCGCCCGCUCGCCCGCCCGCGCGCCCAACCAACCCGCGCCGUGCUCGCGAGAGGCGCCCACGGAGCCCAUGCCGCCCCGCGCGUCGGCCGCCUCGCUGCAGGGCGACUGCUGCAUCCACGGGCCAGGCCCAGGCCCCGGCCCCGGCCCCGGCUGGCGCGUCGGCGGCGGCGAGCUCCACGGCGAGGCGUCCUGCAGCUACCUGCCGCUGCGAAAGCGGCUGUCCGUGGACGGCAAGUGCCCGGCGCCGCGGAUAUGCAUCUGGGAGUGCGACGGCGAGGCCGGGGACAUCACCUGCGACAUCGUCGCCGCGCCGCUCCGGCGCAGCUGCAGCGCCAGGGCAAUGCCGCCGCCUCCCCCGCCGCUCCUCUUCCGCCGGAUGAUGACGCCGCCGCCUUCGCGGCCCAGGCCGCCGCCGCAGAGGGAGGCGGAGGAGGCGGCCAGGAGGCCCGGGGAGACCAUCUCCAAGGGCCACCGGAGCUACGGCCUCAUGCUUAACCUGCAGCUUGGCAUAAGCUAUUCAGUGGGGAAGUCGUCGGCGCUGCCGUUCAGGAAGCUCUCGCCGUCAGACUUCGACCCGCGGGAGAAGGUGUGGACGCGGUUCCCGCCGGAGGGGUCCAAGCUGACGCCGCCGCAUCACUCGGUGGAUUUCCGGUGGAAGGACUACUGCCCUGCAGUAUUCAGGCACCUGAGGAAGCUGUUCGGGGUGGAUCCGGCGGACUACAUGCUCGCCAUCUGCGGGGGCGACACGCUCCGGGAGCUGGCAUCCCCGGGCAAGAGUGGGAGCUGCUUCUUCGUUACGCAGGACGAUCGAUUCAUGAUUAAAACCGUGAAGAAGGCCGAAGUGAAGGUUCUAAUUAGGAUGCUGCGGAGUUACUACGAACAUGUUUGUCGAUACAAGUCCACUUUACUGACAAGAUUCUAUGGCACACAUUGCAUUAAGCAAGCUGGCUGCCCCAAGGUCCGGUUCAUUAUAAUGGGCAAUUUUUGCUGCUCAGAGUAUAAGAUCCACCGGCGUUUUGAUUUGAAAGGUUCCUCACAUGGUCGGACUAUCGACAAAGCAGAACAGAAAAUCGAUGAAACUACUACUCUAAAGGACCUUGACCUCGAUUAUGCAUUCCACCUGCAAAGAUUUUGGUACGAGGAGCUGAUGAAGCAAAUUCAGAUGGACUGCACAUUCUUAGAGACACAAGGAAUUAUGGACUACAGCUUGUUGCUAGGAGUUCACUUUCGUAAUGUAGGUGUAUCCCAGUUCACUAGUUUUCCAAAAUCCACUGGCAAAAGAAAAUCAUUUGAAGGUGGAGGUGAUGUUUGUGAGCUUUGCUUUAUGGAAUCUGGAUGCAAGGACAGAGAUUUCAUUGUUGACUCUCGGAAACCAUUGGUCCAGUUAGGCAAGAACAUGCCCGCACAGGCGGAGCGCAGGUCAAGGAGAGUCCUAGACAAGUUUCUCCUAAAUGAAAGACACUUGUUCAUAACCACGCCAAGCGGAGGAUCAUGGGAUGUCUACCUCUUCUUUGGAAUAAUCGACAUUCUUCAAGACUACGACAUAACCAAGAAGCUUGAGCAUGCUUACAAGUCCUUCCAGGUCAACCCUGGCUGCAUUUCUGCCGUGGAUCCAAAGCUCUACUCGAGAAGAUUCCAGGACUUCAUUCGCAGAGUGUUCAUCAGAGAACAGUAAGAAGAACUUGCACAGAGUUAACCGGCAACUGUUCAGCUCCACUGACAUUUUUACAUCAUGGGAUCCAUUGGUGAAGCCAUGGGCAUGAUCGUUUCACCGAUCCCGAGCGUGCCCUGGAACAGUGGAAAGGAUGGGCGGUUUACCGGGCGCACAGUUUUCUGAAUAAUUGACGCCGAGGAAGGAGCACUGCCGACACGCAUGCUAAUGCUGAAAAGGACUUGUAAAAUGUAAGUGCCGGCUCCAUGAUUGCGGAGCACAUCCCGAACCUUGCCGCCCGUUGUUUAUUCUUUUUUGCACCCGCAUCUGCCAAGAAUCUCAAGUAUUUUAGCUUCUUGGGAUGCUUGAUGAAUACCAGAAUGAUCUUUGCCGAGUGGGGAUCGGACAUUGUACAUGUACAUGCAGCCCUGUAGUAUACACUAGAUGGACUUAGAAACUGAUGCAUCUUUGUCAAAGUUUGAGAAAAAGGAAUUCGGAUGCAUCCUUGCGUUCUAAAAGAAGCUGGUGCCUCGAAUUGUUGCCUUCUUUGCAAGCAUUUGCAGCUGGGUUUCUUUUUCGCUCGCGCCUGCUCUGACUGACCACGGUUGGUGACUGGAGGAGAGGCAGCGGCGCCACUUGCAGUUCUACCACUGGCUCGGCGAACUGGCGAAAGGUAAAGCGGAAAAGCGGAAGAGGAGGAAGGGAGGAGACAGGCAUCAAAAGGAGAGAAAGCGGGUGCAGGGAGAUGCUGGGACAGAUCUGGUCUGCUCCUGCGGCCCGUGUCUCGCAGGGUGAUGCGUUUUUCUUGCGUCCUCUCGCUGUUGCUACAUGGCCGGCCGGCCGGCCUUUCUUUCCUCCUCGACUUUGCUUUGUCCCACGCCAAGCCCUGCUCCGUUUCUUCGUCUCCCUCGCUUUUGUCAUGCUCUGAUGUGCUUGGAUCUACUGUCUAUGACCGGGCCAGCCUUCCUCCGGCAUGCAUCGGCAUGACUGGGGCUGCAGACCAGGUGUUCAGAAGUUACUUCCGCAGGUCACAGCAACUCAGGAUGAUGCAUUGCCACUCUCACGCAUGACGCGUCCUACUCGGCUACUCCUAGAGUCCUAUUGGUAGCCACUUUGGCCAGAUCGUGCUACCUGCAUUAUAAACUUGUGUCUAAUAAGGGGCAGGCGUAUUAUUAGAGAAUUUCAUCAUGUUAGUUUUCGUGGGA